This 449-nucleotide ribosomal RNA is filed under the name uncultured bacterium. RNAcentral's name for it is "bacterial SSU rRNA". It matches the Rfam family "Bacterial small subunit ribosomal RNA", at positions 355 to 796 of the family's 1533-position model. The record is from RNAcentral.
UGGGGAAUAUUGGACAAUGGGGGCAACCCUGAUCCAGCAAUGCCGCGUGUGUGAAGAAGGCCUUCGGGUUGUAAAGCACUUUAGGCUGUGAAGAAGCCAUGUAGUUUAAGAGAUGAUAUGGUUGACGGUAGCAGCAGAAUAAGCACCGGCUAACUCUGUGCCAGCAGCCGCGGUAAUACAGAGGGUGCGAGCGUUAAUCGGAUUGACUGGGCGUAAAGGGCGCGUAGGCGGUUGUAUAAGAUAGAUGUGAAAUCCCUGGGCUUAACCUAGGACUGGCAUCUAAGACUGUACGGCUGGAGUAUUGUAGAGGGUAGUGGAAUUUCCGGUGUAGCGGUGAAAUGCGUAGAGAUCGGAAGGAACACCAGUGGCGAAGGCGGCUACCUGGACAAAUACUGACGCUGAGGCGCGAGAGCGUGGGGAGCAAACAGGAUUAGAUACCCCUGUAGUCC